Molecule: ribosomal RNA, 347 nt
Filed under: uncultured bacterium
Lineage: Bacteria
Description: partial 16S ribosomal RNA
Rfam family: Bacterial small subunit ribosomal RNA
Source: RNAcentral
CCUACGGGAGGCUGCAGUGAGGAAUAUUGGUCAAUGGCCGGAAGGCUGAACCAGCCAUGCCGCGUGAAGGGCAGGGACCUAGGGGCGUUAAACUUCUUUUGUGCGGGAGCAAGAAUGGUCACGUGUGGCCAGACGAGAGUACCGUACGAAUAAGCAGCGGCCAACUCCGUGACAGCAGCCGCGGUCAUCCGGGGGAUGCAAGCGUUCUCCGGCUUUAGUGGGGUUAAAGGGUGCGGAGGCUGUGAGGUAAGUCAGCGGUGAAAAGCCCCCGCUCAACGGGGGGAAGUGCCAUUGAUACUGGCUGGCUGGACUGCGGAUGCCGUGGGCGGAAUGUGUGGUGUAGCGGU